GACGAACGCUGGCGGCGUGCUUAACACAUGCAAGUCGAACGGAAAGGCCCUGCUUUUGUGGGGUGCUCGAGGGGCGAACGGGUGAGUAACACGUGAGUAACCGGCCCUUGACUUUGGGAUAACUUCAGGAAACUGGGGCUAAUACCGGAUAGGAGCUCCGGCUGCAUGGUGGGGGUUGGAAAGUUUCGGCGGUUGGGGAUGGACUCGCGGCUUAUCAGCUUGUUGGUGGGGUAGUGGCUUACCAAGGCUUUGACGGGUAGCCGGCCUGAGAGGGUGACCGGCGACAUUGGGACUGAGAUACGGCCCAGACUCCUACGGGAGGCAGCAGUGGGGAAUAUUGCACAAUGGGCGGAAGCCUGAUGCAGCAACGCCGCGUGCGGGAUGACGGCCUUCGGGUUGUAAACCGCUUUCGCCUGUGACGAAGCGUGAGUGACGGUAGUGGGUAAAGAAGCACCGGCUAACUACGUG
Molecule: ribosomal RNA, 468 nt
Filed under: uncultured bacterium
Lineage: Bacteria
Description: partial 16S ribosomal RNA
Rfam family: Bacterial small subunit ribosomal RNA
Source: RNAcentral